This 496-nucleotide ribosomal RNA is filed under the name uncultured bacterium. Its description in RNAcentral is "partial 16S ribosomal RNA". It matches the Rfam family "Bacterial small subunit ribosomal RNA", at positions 28 to 523 of the family's 1533-position model. The record is from RNAcentral.
GAUGAACGCUAGCGGCAGGCCUAAUACAUGCAAGUCGAGGGGUAGAAGAGGCUUGCUUCUUUGAGACCGGCGCACGGGUGCGUAACGCGUAUGCAACCUACCUUCAUCUGGGGGAUAGCCCGGAGAAAUCCGGAUUAAUACCGCAUAAAAUCACAGGAUGGCAUUAUCCAAUGAUCAAACAUUUAUGGGAUGGAGAUGGGCAUGCGUGUCAUUAGCUAGUUGGCGGGGUAACGGCCCACCAAGGCGACGAUGACUAGGGGAUCUGAGAGGAUGGCCCCCCACACUGGUACUGAGGCACGGACCAGACUCCUACGGGAGGCAGCAGUAAGGAAUAUUGGUCAAUGGAGGCAACUCUGAACCAGCCAUGCCGCGUACAGGAAGACUGCCCUAUGGGUUGUAAGCUGCUUUUAUUCGGGAAUAAACCUUAUUACGUGUAAUAAGCUGAAUGUACCGAAGGAAUAAGGAUCGGCUAACUCCGUGCCAGCCGCCGCCGUAA